Molecule: ribosomal RNA, 666 nt
Filed under: uncultured Bacteroidales bacterium
Lineage: Bacteria; Pseudomonadati; Bacteroidota; Bacteroidia; Bacteroidales
Description: bacterial SSU rRNA
Rfam family: Bacterial small subunit ribosomal RNA
Source: RNAcentral
UAGCAAUACACCGCUGGCGACCGGCGCACAGGUGAGUAACACGUAUCCAACCUGCCCUUUACUCGGGGAUAGCCUUUCGAAAGAAAGAUUAAUACCCGAUGGUAUAACAUGACCUCCUGGUUUUGUUAUUAAAGAAUUUCGGUAGAGGAUGGGGAUGCGUUCCAUUAGGCAGUUGGCGGGGUAACGGCCCACCAAACCUUCGAUGGAUAGGGGUUCUGAGAGGAAGGUCCCCCACAUUGGAACUGAGACACGGUCCAAACUCCUACGGGAGGCAGCAGUGAGGAAUAUUGGUCAAUGGGCGAGAGCCUGAACCAGCCAAGUAGCGUGAAGGAUGACCGCCCUAUGGGUUGUAAACUUCUUUUAUAUGGGAAUAAAGUUUGCCACGUGUGGCAUUUUGUAUGUACCAUAUGAAUAAGGAUCGGCUAACUCCGUGCCAGCAGCCGCGGUAAUACGGAGGAUCCGAGCGUUAUCCGGAUUUAUUGGGUUUAAAGGGAGCGUAGGCGGAUUGUUAAGUCAGUUGUGAAAGUUUGCGGCUCAACCGUAAAAUUGCAGUUGAUACUGGCAGUCUUGAGUGCAGUAGAGGUGGGCGGAAUUCGUGGUGUAGCGGUGAAAUGCUUAGAUAUCACGAAGACUCCGAUUGCGAAGGCAGCUCACUGGAGUGUAACU